Molecule: transfer RNA, 81 nt
Filed under: Caudoviricetes sp.
Lineage: Duplodnaviria; Heunggongvirae; Uroviricota; Caudoviricetes
Description: tRNA-OTHER
Rfam family: tRNA
About the family: Transfer RNA (tRNA) molecules are approximately 80 nucleotides in length. Their secondary structure includes four short double-helical elements and three loops (D, anti-codon, and T loops).
Source: RNAcentral
AUGGGAGUGCCUCGAAAUGGUAAGGAGGCGGUUAACGGUUUGGCCGAAUCGACAUGCGGGUUCGAUUCCCGCCUCCCAUGA